UGCGGGGAGAGGGAGGAGAGACGCAGACAGCGAGAGUGUCUCGUUUCUCUGCGCUCUC
Molecule: non-coding RNA, 58 nt
Organism: Caenorhabditis elegans
Lineage: Eukaryota; Metazoa; Nematoda; Chromadorea; Rhabditida; Rhabditidae
Source: Ensembl